AGCAGAGGAGAGAGAGAGAGAGAGAGGGGUGGAGGAGCCACACAGCAGAGGAGAGGAGAGAGAGAGAGGGGUGGAGGAGCCACACAGCAGAGGAGAGGAGGGAGAGAGAGAGGGGUGGAGGAGCCACACAGCAGAGGAGAGGGAGAGAGAGAGAGAGGGGUGGGAGGGGCCACACAGCAGAGGAGAGGAGAGAGAGAGGGGUGGAGGAGCCACACAGCAGAGGAGAGGAGAGAGAGAGAGAGGGGUGGAGGAGCCACACAGCAGAGGAGAGAGAGAGAGAGGGAGAGGGGUGGAGGAGCCACACAGCAGAGGAGAGGAGAUAGAGAGAGAGAGAGGGGUGGAGGAGCCACACAGCAGAGGAGAGGAGAGAGAGAGAGAGAGAGGGGUGGAGGAGCCACACAGCAGAGGAGGAGAUAGAGAGAGAGAGAGGGGUGGAGAGCCACACAGCAGAGGAGAGAGGAGAGAGAGAGAGGGGUGGAGGAGCCACACAGCAGAGGAGAGAGAGAGAGAGAGAGAGGGGUGGAGGAGCCACACAGCAGAGGAGAGAGAGAGAGAGAGAGGGGUGGAGGAGCCACACAGCAGAGGAGAGG
Molecule: long non-coding RNA, 590 nt
Organism: Oncorhynchus tshawytscha (Chinook salmon)
Lineage: Eukaryota; Metazoa; Chordata; Actinopteri; Salmoniformes; Salmonidae
Source: Ensembl